This 95-nucleotide transfer RNA is filed under the name Paractinoplanes durhamensis. RNAcentral's name for it is "Actinoplanes durhamensis tRNA-Ser". Lineage: Bacteria; Bacillati; Actinomycetota; Actinomycetes; Micromonosporales; Micromonosporaceae. The record is from RNAcentral.
CCCGGCUGGCCGAGCUGGGCCGGCGGCGGCUGGUCGACCUGGCCGGCUACGAGUCCUACCUGGCCCGGCUGCCGAUCCCGGUCGGCGCGCCGGGC